UACGUAGGGUGCGAGCGUUGUCCGGAAUUAUUGGGCGUAAAGGGCUCGUAGGCGGUUUGUCGCGUCGGGAGUGAAAUCCACUGGCUUAACUGGUGGCUUGCUUUCGAUACGGGCAGACUGGAGGUAUGCAGGGGAGAACGGAAUUCCUGGUGUAGCGGUGAAAUGCGCAGAUAUCAGGAGGAACACCGAUGGCGAAGGCAGGUCUCUGGGCAUUAACUGACGCUGAGGAGCGAAAAGCAUGGGGAGCGAACAGG
Molecule: ribosomal RNA, 254 nt
Filed under: uncultured bacterium
Lineage: Bacteria
Description: partial 16S ribosomal RNA
Rfam family: Bacterial small subunit ribosomal RNA
Source: RNAcentral